RNAcentral lists this ribosomal RNA (133 nucleotides) under uncultured bacterium. RNAcentral describes it as "partial 16S ribosomal RNA". It matches the Rfam family "Bacterial small subunit ribosomal RNA", at positions 537 to 670 of the family's 1533-position model. The record is from RNAcentral.
GGCGUAAAGCGCAUGCAGGUGGCGUAAAGCGCAUGCAGGUGGCUUAGCAAGACAGGUGUGAAAUCCCCGGGCCUAACCUGGGAACUGCAUUUGUGACUGCAUGGCUAGAGUCUGUAGAGGGGGGUAGAAUUUC